RNAcentral lists this transfer RNA (84 nucleotides) under Candidatus Pacearchaeota archaeon. Its description in RNAcentral is "tRNA-Leu". It matches the Rfam family "tRNA". From Rfam's summary of the family: Transfer RNA (tRNA) molecules are approximately 80 nucleotides in length. Lineage: Archaea; Nanobdellati. The record is from RNAcentral.
GCGGGUAUGCCGGAGCGGUCAAACGGGACGGACUCAAGAUCCGUUAGCUUAGUGCUUACAAAGGUUCGAAUCCUUUUACCCGCA